AUCCUUUUCCUUGGAGAAACCCAGCAGCUUUCACCUCUUUAGCUUCUCCUCUGUAACGUCAACGAAUCAUAAUCGUGAUCCAUAAAGCUCCAUCAUUUAGUCCAAUAACUAUAUAAUCUAUCUCUUCUCCUCCGAUUUUGAUGAGAAGAAAAUGACGUAGAAUCUAUCUUUUCCAGGUUCUGCCAAUGUCAUCAACUCUAGAUCAAGUCAAAAUGCAAAGACUCUUUAACCAACAACCUCCCAGACCUGUCCGAGGUGGUGGACGAGGUGCUGGUCCUGCUGCGCCUCCUGUGAGAAGACCACGACCUCGACGCUACCCAGAUGUCAGCAUUGCAGAAUUGAUGGCUUCCCCAUCCCGGCUUCAGAUGCCUCUCAUACAUCCUGCAACAACACCAUCACCGCAACAACUUGAUAAGUUUUUUUAUUGAGGCUGUCCCACCUUACAAAGGGCGUGUUUAUGGCCUUGGCUCUGCUCAUUGUUAUUAUGGUGAUUCCACGCCUUCCACCUCAACUGCUAUCCCACGCACAAUGCAAUUGGAGACAAGGGUGACUUCCAUCGAAGGCAACAUGAGUUCCAUGCAAGGUAGCAUCAACUCCAUGCAAGGUAACAUCAACUCCAUGGCCACAGAGAUUGCUGCUAUCAUGGAAGCCUCACGAAUGCUACUGGAGGCAAAGGGGAUUGAUCCAUCAGUUGUCCUCAAAUCAACAACUACUAAUCCAGCGGAGCCAGCGCAGGAAGCAACUCCGGAGCAGCAGUCACCAACUUUAAACCGCCAAACACAAGCUCCUGCUACCACUCCGAUCAACUUGGGGGACAUGGAACCUCAGUCUUUUGGUGGAUACUUUGAGAAUGAUCUCAACCAGUAGCAUUAUGCUUAAUUUUGUUUUUGUAUUAAAUAGGACUAACGGCAUAUAGAGCGUAUGAAAUGCUCUCUUUU
This is a long non-coding RNA of Brassica oleracea var. oleracea, 938 nucleotides long. RefSeq lists it as uncharacterized. The transcript has 3 exons. The record is from RefSeq and is a predicted model, not a curated record. Lineage: Eukaryota; Viridiplantae; Streptophyta; Magnoliopsida; Brassicales; Brassicaceae.